Molecule: ribosomal RNA, 468 nt
Filed under: uncultured bacterium
Lineage: Bacteria
Description: bacterial SSU rRNA
Rfam family: Bacterial small subunit ribosomal RNA
Source: RNAcentral
CGCCAGACUCCUACGGGAGGCAGCAGUGAGGAAUAUUGGUCAAUGGGCGAGAGCCCGAACCAGCCAAGUCGCGUGAGGGAAGACUGCCCUAUGGGUUGUAAACCUCUUUUGUCAGGGAGCAAUUGGCGCUACGUGUAGCGUUAUCGAGAGUACCUGAAGAAAAAGCAUCGGCUAACUCCGUGCCAGCAGCCGCGGUAAUACGGAGGAUGCGAGCGUUAUCCGGAUUUAUUGGGUUUAAAGGGUGCGUAGGCGGGCUGUUAAGUCAGCGGUCAAAUGUCGGGGCUCAACCCCGGCCUGCCGUUGAAACUGGCGGCCUCGAGUGGGCGAGAAGUAUGCGGAAUGCGUGGUGUAGCGGUGAAAUGCAUAGAUAUCACGCAGAACUCCGAUUGCGAAGGCAGCGCACCGGCGCCCUACUGACGCUCAGGCACGAAAGCGUGGGUAUCGAACAGGAUUAGAUACCCCGGUAGU